This is a long non-coding RNA of Scylla paramamosain (green mud crab), 2538 nucleotides long. RefSeq lists it as uncharacterized. NCBI's taxonomy places the organism in Eukaryota, Metazoa, Arthropoda, Malacostraca, Decapoda, Portunidae. The transcript has 21 exons. The record is from RefSeq and is a predicted model, not a curated record.
CGGCCUCAGUUCCCGGGUAGACGUUGCGGGAGGAGGACGUGCCGCUCUCGCUUCCGAACCUUCCAUAUUUAAACCUUCUAAAUCUCGAUACAUAGGGUGGAAUGGACAGGUGUGGUGACCUCAGCGCACCCACACAUGAGGAUGGAAGAAGAGGAGGAGGAGGAGGAGGAAGAAGAGGAGGAAGGACGAGGCUGAGAAAAUAAAGGAAGACCGACAGGAAAGAUUAGAGAAAGUGAGCGAGGAUUGAGCUAACUUUAAUCUGUCCAGCAAGGAGGAAAUGUUAAAGGAAGGACGAGGCUGAGAAAAUAAAGGAAGACUGACAGGAAAGAUUAGAGAAAGUGAGCGAGGAUUGAGCUAACUUUAAUCUGUCCAGCAAGGAGGAAAUGUUAAAGGUACUCUUGUGGUCUCCCUUGGCUGUGAUUGUGUUUGGGAAGCUGUGAAGUGCCCUAGAUGGUUGCAGGUUAUCGGAAGAGGAAGAAGAGGAAUGAAGAAUAGCAUUUAUAUUUUUACUGGGUUAUCGGAAGAGGAAGAAGAGGAAUGAAGAAUAGCAUUUAUAUUUUUACUGGACUUGGAGGAGGAAGAAGAGGAAGACUGAUUUCAAGAGGAGGAGGAGGAGGACUGGUAUGGAGAGGAAGAGGAAGAGAUCUUUAAUGGAAGAAGAUAAGAGGAAGAGGAGGAAGAGGCUGCCAUUGAAAAUUAGAGAUUAAAGAGGAGGAGGAGGAAGAGGCUGUCAUGGAAGAUUAGAGAGAAGGAAGAAGAGGAGGAGGUCAGAGGUCAAAGGAGGUCAAGAUUGUGUGUGACCUGAAUUUGCAAGGUUGUGCUUUUGAGCCGGUCAGUUUGUCAGCCAGUCAGUUUUUCAGCCGGUCAGUCAGUCAGAUGGUUCGUCUUGUGUGUGUUCGUCAGUUCGUCAGCCAGUUAGGUGUGAAGGUGGUGGUUAACGAGCUGACAGGUGUGUGCGCCAGGCGGGUGUGGGCCAGCUGUGUGUGCGCGUGUGUGUUUGUGUUUGUUAGGAAGGUCGUGGGCAGAGAGAAGUGGAUUGUGGGAUGCUUUUGGUGUGGAUUAAGAUGAAUUGUGGAUUUUAGAUUGUGUGCGUGUGUGCGUCUGUGUGUUGCUGCAAGAUGAACGGCAAGGCAAGAGGAGCUUGGGAGACUGCAACACAAAUAGGUGUGGGUGCAGACUGAGAGGAGUUUACAGGAUGAAGUUGAAAAUGAAAGAUGAGGUAGAAGAGGAGGAGGAGGAUGGGAAGAAAAGGAAGAGGAGGAGGAGAGAGAAUAUAAAGAAAGAAUAGUUGGAGAUAAUGCAAAGAGGAGGAAGAGGAGAUAAUCAAAAGAAGAAGAGAAGGAGAAGAUACAAACAAGGAAAUAGAGGAGGAGGAAGAAGAAAGAAGAGGAGGAGGAGGAGGAGGCAAACAAGGAAAUAGAAGAGGAGGAGGAGGAGGAGGAGGAGGAACAAGGUGUGGUGGGACAGGUGUGCAGCAGAGAGAGAGAGAGAGAAAGGAAGAAAGAAAGAAAGUGUGGGGGUGACUGACGUGCAGAUGUAUGGACACACCUGUUUGUUUGUUCAGAUGACCAGGCGUGACACAGGUAUAGGUGAACUCAAUAUAAGAUACUCGAAAAUAAAAGGGUUAAAGAAGAUAUUUUGUUUUUCUUUAGCUUAAGAAAUAAAACGAGAGGGAGAAAGGGGGGUGGUGAUGCAGGCUGUCAUAACUACAAUUAAAAACUAUUAAAUUAUUGAAGGUAAUCGUCUCUAACCCUUUCUUCAUGGCAAGGUGUACUGUAACCCUUCCCUCUAACCCUUUCUUCAUGGCAAGGUGAACUGUAACCCUUCCAUCUAACCCUUUCUUCAUGGCAAGGUGAACUGUAACCCUUCCCUCUAACCCUUUCUUCAUGGCAAGGUGUACUGUAACCCUUCCCUCUAACCCUUUCUUCAUGGCAAGGUGUACAGUAACCCUUCCAUCUAACCCUUUCUUCAUGGCAAGGUGUACUGUAACCCUUCCCUCUAACCCUUUCUUCAUGGCAAGGUGUACUGUAACCCUUCCCUCUAACCCUUUCUUCAUGGCAAGGUGUACUGUAACCCUUCCCUCUAACCCUUUCUUCAUGGCAAGGUGUACUGUAACCCUUCCCUCUAACCCUUUCUUCGUGGCAAGGUGUACUGUAACCCUUCCCUCUAACCCUUUCUUCAUGGCAAGGUGAACUGUAACCCUUCCCUCUAACCCUUUCUUCAUGGCAAGGUGUACUGUAACCCUUCCAUCUAACCCUUUCUUCAUGGCUAGGUGUACUGUAACCCUUUCUUCAUGGCAAGGUGUACUGUAACCCUUCAUGACGCAGGGUUUAGGGGACGGGGGAGGGUAGAGGUCAGUUUUAAGUCCACAUCCACCUUUGAAGUCCACCCUUCCACCUACGAGCUAGUUGUGGUUGAGUUUGGUCUGGUGCCUCGUGUGGUUCGGGGCCUUCACCUGGGUUGUGUUGGUGGUUGUAGGGUAGACUGAAGGUGUAUUGGGAAUGAGUAUUGGUUUCGUAAUUAAAGUAUAUGGUUAUU